GAUGAACGCUGGCGGCGUGCCUAAUACAUGCAAGUCGAGCGAACAGACGAGGAGCUUGCUCCUCUGACGUUAGCGGCGGACGGGUGAGUAACACGUGGAUAACCUACCUAUAAGACUGGGAUAACUUCGGGAAACCGGAGCUAAUACCGGAUAAUAUAUUGAACCGCAUGGUUCAAUAGUGAAAGACGGUUUUGCUGUCACUUAUAGAUGGAUCCGCGCCGCAUUAGCUAGUUGGUAAGGUAACGGCUUACCAAGGCAACGACGCGUAGCCGACCUGAGAGGGUGAUCGGCCACACUGGAACUGAGACACGGUCCAGACUCCUACGGGAGGCAGCAGUAGGGAAUCUUCCGCAAUGGGCGAAAGCCUGACGGAGCAACGCCGCGUGAGUGAUGAAGGUCUUCGGAUCGUAAAACUCUGUUAUUAGGGAAGAACAAAUGUGUAAGUACCUAUGCACGUCUUGACGGUACCUAAUCAGAAAGCCACGGCUAACUACGUG
This 497-nucleotide ribosomal RNA is filed under the name uncultured bacterium. RNAcentral's name for it is "partial 16S ribosomal RNA". It matches the Rfam family "Bacterial small subunit ribosomal RNA", at positions 28 to 507 of the family's 1533-position model. The record is from RNAcentral.